GACCUGAUUAGAGAGCUGUACUCUCCAGAAGUAGCUGCUCAAAUUUUAGCUAUCUCAAGCUGUGGAGUUACUGAUAAGCUGCUAUGGCCUCAUACAACACAACAUACUUUGUUUUGUAGGUAUGCACAAGCCUCUGAUGCACAACAUGUUGAUUAGAGUAACUACUGGAGAGUUCCAAGGGUAGUGUGUCCAGUUGUGGAGGGAUGGCAAGUGUUGCUGACAGUUGAGGGGCACUGGCAGAGCAGAUGCAAAUGGGGUUGUUUUGCCUAUGUAGCUAAAUCAUGGGCUGGCAGAUAAUUUCUCAGCCUGUUCCAGUAAUGCCGUAUGCAAAAAAGUGAAAGCUUACUGUUUGAGAAGCAUAUUUUCCAGGCUUGUUCUGGUUAGUGGAAGAUUGGAGGACCUGUGGAAAAGAAGAAGGUUCCUUGGCAACUUGGUGCGUUGAUUGAAGAACACAAGUGCAAGAAAGUUGGAGAAUGCCAGUGGUGUACAUUUGCUGUGUACAGGAGUCACUAAUGAGGUCUGCACAAGUCUCUAAUGCACAACAAGCAGAUCAAAGUAACUGCAGGAAAGUACCAAGGCAGGUGUAUCAAGUUGUGGAGGGUUGUAGGUGUUGCUGACAAUUUAGGGACGCUAGCAGAGAUAGUGUGAACGGGGUGGUUUUGGCUUUGUAGCCAAAUUGGUGGGUGCUGGCAGGCUGUUGCAGUUCUUCCAUAUGCAACCAAAUGGCAUGCAGCUAGAUGCCCCUGUUCGGAAAGCAUUAACUAAGGCUAUACAGCUUGGUUUUUGUAGACUUGUUUCCAUCAUUUCUAAGAGUGGAGGAACUCCUUUUGAGAAGAAGGUUUCCUUGGCAACUUGCUGUGCUGAUUGAAGGCCACAAGUGCAUAGAAGUAGGAGAACUUUAGUGGUUGUAUAUUUUGUGCAUAAGAGAGUUGCUACAGAUGUUGGGGUCUUGCUGUUGCUUCAAAGUCUUUUGAACAUUUUUGGACUCUACUACCAGCCAACGCUUCAUACA
Quercus robur (English oak) is the source of this 1012-nucleotide long non-coding RNA. RefSeq lists it as uncharacterized. NCBI's taxonomy places the organism in Eukaryota, Viridiplantae, Streptophyta, Magnoliopsida, Fagales, Fagaceae. The transcript is spliced from 3 exons. The record is from RefSeq and is a predicted model, not a curated record.